This 490-nucleotide ribosomal RNA is filed under the name uncultured bacterium. Its description in RNAcentral is "partial 16S ribosomal RNA". It matches the Rfam family "Bacterial small subunit ribosomal RNA", at positions 30 to 507 of the family's 1533-position model. The record is from RNAcentral.
AUUGAACGCUGGCGGCAGGCCUAACACAUGCAAGUCGAACGGUAACAGAAAGCAGCUUGCUGCUUUGCUGACGAGUGGCGGACGGGUGAGUAAUGUCUGGGAAACUGCCUGAUGGAGGGGGAUAACUACUGGAAACGGUAGCUAAUACCGCAUAACGUCGCAAGACCAAAGAGGGGGACCUUCGGGCCUCUUGCCAUCGGAUGUGCCCAGGUGGGAUUAGCUAGUAGGUGGGGUAACGGCUCACCUAGGCGACGAUCCCUAGCUGGUCUGAGAGGAUGACCAGCCACACUGGAACUGAGACACGGUCCAGACUCCUACGGGAGGCAGCAGUGGGGAAUAUUGCACAAUGGGCGCAAGCCUGAUGCAGCCAUGCCGCGUGUAUGAAGAAGGCCUUCGGGUUGUAAAGUACUUUCAGCGGGGAGGAAGGGAGUAAAGUUAAUACCUUUGCUCAUUGACGUUACCCGCAGAAGAAGCACCGGCUAACUCCGUG